RNAcentral lists this long non-coding RNA (412 nucleotides) under Medicago truncatula (barrel medic). RNAcentral's name for it is "long non-coding RNA (MTRU_LNC006903)". The record is from RNAcentral. Lineage: Eukaryota; Viridiplantae; Streptophyta; Magnoliopsida; Fabales; Fabaceae.
UCCAAGAUUAGAUUAAAUUUUUCUUUUUUAUUUAUUUUAUUUAAAACCAAAAAAUAUAGAUAUUAUCCUUUUAUUAUUAAUUUUUCUUUUUUAUUAAAUCCCAAAAUUGUCCAAAGUCCCAAAAAUGUCCAUGAGUCCCAAGAACAGUCCAGGUUCAUGCGUAACAAAUCACAAACCAUCAUCCUCAUCCUCAUCCAGUCUGUUACGCGCCUAUCUCCGUCUCAAUCUCCUAAAAUCUGCAAUUUUUGUAACAAAUCCUUGUCCCCAAACAGCACUAUAAAUACAUAACCUGCAUAACAAAGAAAAAGACAGCAGAACGCAGCAGAACAUACGAAAAAACAGAAAGAAACAGCAGAGAAGCCAAGACAACAACAACAGCACACACACACGCCACAACAGCACACACACGCAC